RNAcentral lists this ribosomal RNA (244 nucleotides) under uncultured Staphylococcus sp. RNAcentral describes it as "partial 16S ribosomal RNA". It matches the Rfam family "Bacterial small subunit ribosomal RNA", at positions 96 to 334 of the family's 1533-position model. Lineage: Bacteria; Bacillati; Bacillota; Bacilli; Caryophanales; Staphylococcaceae. The record is from RNAcentral.
CGGCGGACGGGUGAGUAACACGUGGAUAACCUACCUAUAAGACUGGGAUAACUUCGGGAAACCGGAGCUAAUACCGGAUAAUAUAUUGAACCGCAUGGUUCAAUAGUGAAAGACGGUUUUGCUGUCACUUAUAGAUGGAUCCGCGCCGCAUUAGCUAGUUGGUAAGGUAACGGCUUACCAAGUCAACGAUGCGUAGCCGACCUGAGAGGGUUAUCGGCCACACUGGAACUGAGACACGGUCCAG